RNAcentral lists this ribosomal RNA (223 nucleotides) under uncultured bacterium. RNAcentral's name for it is "partial 16S ribosomal RNA". It matches the Rfam family "Bacterial small subunit ribosomal RNA", at positions 527 to 746 of the family's 1533-position model. The record is from RNAcentral.
AGAGGGUGCAAGCGUUGUUCGGAAUUACUGGGCGUAAAGGGCGUGUAGGCGGUUGAACAAGUCAGAUGUGAAAUCCCGGGGCUAAACUCCGGAAGUGCAUUUGAAACUGUUGGCUAGAGUGUUGUUAGAGGAGUGGCGGGAAUACCCAGUGGGAGAGGUGAAAAUUGUAGAUAUUGGGUGGAACACCGGUGGCGAAGGCGGCCAUCUGGGCAACAACUGACGC